RNAcentral lists this ribosomal RNA (254 nucleotides) under uncultured bacterium. RNAcentral describes it as "partial 16S ribosomal RNA". It matches the Rfam family "Bacterial small subunit ribosomal RNA", at positions 524 to 776 of the family's 1533-position model. The record is from RNAcentral.
UACGAAGGGGGCUAGCGUUGUUCGGAAUCACUGGGCGUAAAGCGCACGCAGGCGGAUCGUUAAGUCAGGGGUGAAAUCCCGAGGCUCAACCUCGGAACUGCCUCUGAUACUGGCGAUCUUCGAGUCCGGGAGAGGUGAGUGGAACUCCGAGUGUAGAGGUGAAAUUCGUAGAUAUUCGGAAGAACACCAGUGGCGAAGGCGGCUCACUGGUCCGGUACUGACGCUCAGGUGCGAAAGCGUGGGGAGCAAACAGG